Mangifera indica (mango) is the source of this 601-nucleotide RNA transcript. It is a transcript of the gene named mitotic-spindle organizing protein 1A-like, with no coding region annotated. The record is from RefSeq and is a predicted model, not a curated record. The transcript is spliced from 2 exons. NCBI's taxonomy places the organism in Eukaryota, Viridiplantae, Streptophyta, Magnoliopsida, Sapindales, Anacardiaceae.
UAAUGAAUUAUAAAAUUCUGUUCCCUGAAUAAAAAAGAAAAAUAUUUAAAAAAAAAAAAAAGGUUAGCAUUCAAACUCUUGGCUUCAUUGGUCCCCGGAGCCCUACCCGGUAACUCUCCUUCCCGUUCUUCUGCUCAUUUCAAUUUCUGCUUCUCGUUGUCACAGUCGUUCAGUCAAAUUCGAACCGAGAUAUGGAUCCAGAGGCUGCACAAACUGCCCGAGAGUCCCUAGACCUUGCAUUUCACAUGUCCAACAUUCUUGAUACAGGGCUUGAUCGACACACACUCUCUAUUCUCAUUGCCCUUUGUGACUUGGGCCUGAACCCUGAGGCUCUGGCUGCUGUGGUCAAGGAACUCCGACAAGAGCCCUCUCCCUCAUCCACAAUGCCUACUGCUCCAUCAUAGUAACUUAAAUGGGUUUGUGCUAUUAUCUCAUAAUUUUAAAUAGCUAGAAGGGACAAUUGUCAUGAGUAGCAGUCUUUUAUACUUGAUCAGUUUCUGCAACCCUUCAUUUUGUCUGCAUCACUAUUGUGUAUUAUGCUUCUCCAUGCAUAACAAUUUGUUUUGUGUCUUCUGUUUAAUCUAUGUUAUUGUAUUCUCUA